CGUUUUAAAGCCUUGGAACUGAGUUUUAAUAUCCCUGGCAACACGUAUGAUAGCAAUCACCAUUACAACUCUGGUUUGCCUUGUUCUUCGUAUUCUGCAGCUCAUUCCUGCCCCCUGUCAAGGUUAUGCUCAGGGUUACCUGAGUCAGCUCAUGGUUUGAAGUUGCACUGUAGGGAAGGAGAUCCUUUGUCACUGAUCUGUAAGUUGCCACAUUUUAGUUCAGAGCUGGCUCUGCGUGUGUACAGCCCACCACAGCACACCCCACCAUCAUAUCCCAUCACCCAAAGCAUGCAGCAGCAUUGGAACACCCAUUAGAACUGAGAUAAAGCAAAGUACCUGGAGCCAUUCCUGCCGGGAGAGUUGCUCAGGUGUUGCUUGAACGUUUCCUCCUUUCAUCCAGGUGAUGAUAACAGGAAUGAGAGAGAGCUCUGGAUUAAGCAGAGGACUGGUGUGGAAAGGAGGAAGAGAAGAAGGGGAAGAGCAGAAGUCCCAGCACACCUAUCCCUGAGCCGCACGAGCCAGGAGAUGCCAUGUUCCAGGCUGUGCACUGCGCCAGGGGGCUGUUUUGUUUCCCCUGCUUGCAUUCAGUGGGGCAGAAGGCGGUGUGUGACUGAGAUUGCAUGCCACUGGCACAAUGACAGUUGCAUAAGCAGCUCUCAAAUAUCAGCUUGGCAUUCUUCUGCCUUUCACGUGCCCACGUGUGCAACCCAAAGGAUCAUGUCAGAAAGCAGCAUGACGCUCAGUAACCUCCAAAAUGCUUGUAUUUGAAAGAGGGAAUCCUUCCCUUCCCCUUUCCC
Molecule: long non-coding RNA, 797 nt
Filed under: Gallus gallus (chicken)
Lineage: Eukaryota; Metazoa; Chordata; Aves; Galliformes; Phasianidae
Description: long non-coding RNA NONGGAT005504
Source: RNAcentral